GACGAACGCUGGCGGCGUGCUUAACACAUGCAAGUCGAACGGAAAGACCCUGCUUUUGUGGGCUGCUCGAGUGGCGAACGGGUGAGUAACACGUGAGUAACCUGCCCUUGACUUUGGGAUAACUUCAGGAAACUGGGGCUAAUACCGGAUAGGAGCUCCUGCUGCAUGGUGGGGGUUGGAAAGUUUCGGCGGUUGGGGAUGGACUCGCGGCUUAUCAGCUUGUUGGUGGGGUAGUGGCUUACCAAGGCUUUGACGGGUAGCCGGCCUGAGAGGGUGACCGGCCACAUUGGGACUGAGAUACGGCCCAGACUCCUACGGGAGGCAGCAGUGGGGAAUAUUGCACAAUGGGCGGAAGCCUGAUGCAGCAACGCCGCGUGCGGGAUGACGGCCUUCGGGUUGUAAACCGCUUUCGCCUGUGACGAAGCGUGAGUGACGGUAAUGGGUAAAGAAGCACCGGCUAACUACGUG
This 468-nucleotide ribosomal RNA is filed under the name uncultured bacterium. RNAcentral describes it as "partial 16S ribosomal RNA". It matches the Rfam family "Bacterial small subunit ribosomal RNA", at positions 28 to 507 of the family's 1533-position model. The record is from RNAcentral.